GAUGAGCGCUGGCGGCGUGCCUAAUACAUGCAAGUCGAACGCAUUGUGGUUGAAAUGAUAUGAAGAACUUGUUCAGAUUUGAUUUUCAACAUUGCAAUGAGUGGCGAACGGGUGAGUAACACGUGGGAAACCUACCUCUUAGCAGGGGAUAACAUUUGGAAACAAAUGCUAAUACCGUAUAAUAAUUAAAACCGCAUGGUUUUAGUUUAAAAGAUGGUCUUGCUAUCACUAAGAGAUGGUCCCGCGGUGUAUUAGUUAGUUGGUGAGGUAAUGGCUCACCAAGACAAUGAUACAUAGCCGAGUUGGGAGACUGACCGGCCACAAUGGGACUGAGACACGGCCCAUACUCCUACGGGAGGCAGCAGUAGGGAAUCGUUCCACAAUGGACGAAAGUCUGAUGGAGCAACGCCGCGUGUGUGAUGAAGGGUUUCGGCUCGUAAAACACUGUUAGUAAGAGAAGAAUGACAUUGAGAGUAACUGUUCAAUGUGUGACGGUAUCUUAACC
RNAcentral lists this ribosomal RNA (505 nucleotides) under uncultured bacterium. Its description in RNAcentral is "bacterial SSU rRNA". It matches the Rfam family "Bacterial small subunit ribosomal RNA", at positions 28 to 485 of the family's 1533-position model. The record is from RNAcentral.